RNAcentral lists this long non-coding RNA (8250 nucleotides) under Brassica napus (rape). Its description in RNAcentral is "long non-coding RNA (BNAP_LNC016202)". Lineage: Eukaryota; Viridiplantae; Streptophyta; Magnoliopsida; Brassicales; Brassicaceae. The record is from RNAcentral.
GGUUUAGUUUUAGAAGGUGAGGGGUAUGGUUGGAGUCAUCAUUAACUUUUUUCAUACAAUUAUAGACAUUUCAUAAUGUCACCAGUAUGUACUAUGUUAUUUAUUUUGUUCUAUUUAAUUUGGGUUUAGGAUUUAUAUUUGGGUUUAUGGUUUGUAUUUGGGUUUAGGGUUUAGUGAUUAUGUUUUAGGAUUUAGUAUUUAGCGAUUGGAUGAGGUUGGGAUAAAGUUUAAUAUCUAGAUUAUAGGGGUUGAGAUAGAGUUGAUUUCCUAUACUAUUUUAAAAAUAUGAAUAUGUAGUAGUUUACAUUUUUGUUUGGGUUUAUUGAUAAUGAUUUAGGGUUUAGUGUUUAAAAGUUGGGGUUGGGUUUGGUAUUUAGGAGUUGUGUUUGGGGUUAGAAUUUAAUAUUACAUAAUAUUAUGUACUUUUUAGAUUUUGAUAUAUGGGUUUAGAGUUUUAUAUUUGGGUUAGGGUUUAGUGAUUUGGGUUUAGGGUUUAGUAUUUAGAAAGUGAGGGAGUAUGGUUGGGCUCAAUAUUAACUUCUUCCAUGCAAUCAUAAACAUUUAAUAAUUUUAUUAAUAUGUACUAUGUUAUUUCUUUUGUUCCAUUCAAUUUGGGUUUAGAGUUUUAUGUUUGGGUUUAGGGUUUACUGAUUUGGGUUCGGGUUUUGUAUUUAGGAGUUGGGGUGGGAUUGAGAGACGGUUUAGUAUCUAAAGAUUGGGGUUGAGAUAUGUUUAGUAUUUAGAGGUCGUAGGACUACAUUAAUAAUAUGGUAUAGAACACUCGGUGCAUAUGCAUGUGAUCAAUAAAUGUCUACGUGGAUGUGGAUGACUCCUCUUUCUUUUAUUUGGAAUAGUUUUCAAGUGUUCUUGACCUUAUAUUCUAUUGGCCACGUUAUUUCCCCCACACACUUACCUGAUACCUGUAAAGAGAAAGGAGAAAACCAGGUACUUUAUGGCAUAAAUGUUAGAAACUACAUUAUGUCAAAAUCAAUGACAUUUACCUAAUUUGUAUUGAAAAUAUAGCUAGUUCGCAAAUAAGCCCAAUAAUUAUUUAAAUAAAUAAAAUAAAUAAAUAAAUUAAAAAAAAAAAUAUUUGUAUGUUUCCGAAUUAUACUUUUUCAAAAUCGAAUUUUUUUUUUUCAAUUUUUUUUUCUUCAAAAUUCCCCUUUGAAAAUCAAAAAUUUUGCUUGCAACUAUUUUUAAAAUUUUUUUUUAUAUUUUUUAAGUAUUUAUUUAUAUAUUUAUUAGAAUCCUAAAUUUCACAUUCCAAAAAUCAUACCUCAUCCCUCAACUCUAAACCCUAAGUCUAGAUUAGUUAACUCUAGGGUUAAAAUAUCUUUUACCCUUCAUUAAAAUGGAAGAUAAAAUUGAUCAGUGUAAACAUAAAAAGUGGUACUAUGAAUAUGGUAUUUGUGGCAAUUUUCCAUACACUAUCUAUAUGCUAAGUUGUUCUUUUUUUUAUAAUAACAUUUAAGUACUAUUGGUUAAAAACAUUGAAAAGAUAUUAUUUAAAUUUAUAUAAUUAAUAAUUAAUUAUUGUAUUUAAAUAACUAUGUCUAAAUUAUAUUAGUAAAAAAUAAUUAUUAUAUUUAAAUAAAUUUUGAAAAUACUGAUUUUACGGUUUUGACGAGAAACUCGAUAUUAAGAUUAUGUCAAGCAUAAUUUGCAAUUUUGCUGGGGAAAUUAGAUUAUGAGGCUUGGCGGUAAAGCCUGAUUUUAUGUGUUUGACAUAAAACCUAUGGUCUUGACAAAAAAUCUGAUUUUACGGUUUUGAUAGGAAAAUAAAUUUUGGAGAGGGAGCACAUUUUUAGGUGAAACACAUUUUUGCUGGAAAAUGUGGUUUCGUUUUUGGCAGAAAAUAUGUUUUUGAAGGAGAAUUUUUUUUUUUAUAGUUUUGGCAGGCAUAUGCGUUUAAAAUACAUUUUGCAGGAAAACAUGUUUUACGAUUUUAGCAAGAAAAAACGUUUUUGCGGUAUUGACGGGAACCGUAAUCUUUCAUUUUUUAUGGGAAACAUUAUUUUGUAAAUUUUAUCAAGAAAAUGUGAUUUUCCAAUUUUGGUGGAAAAGUUAAUUUUACAGUUUUGGCAGACGAAAAAAUUGAUUUUCCGGGUUUUGUGGGGAAACAUAUUUUGCGGUUUUGGUAAGAAAAUGUGAUUUUACGAUUUUGGUGAGAAAAUCCAAUUUUAUGAUUUUUGAAAUUUUCACAGUUAUUUUUUAAAAAAAUAAAUUUUAUAUUUUAAUAUAUAUAUAUAGAAUAAUAAUACUUAGUAUUAAUAUAAAUUAGUUAUUUUAUACUGUAGUGAAAGAUGUUUAAGUAUUUUUGAAUUUUGAGAUGUAAAUGAUAUAUCUAAACUCUACAAUUUUUGGAUCUCAAACAAUUAGAUUUUCUAUAUGUUAUGGAUUAUAUAUCAAGAUGCUGCAUCUAGAUGAUGAUACGAUACGAAUAACAUCUGAACAUUUGUAUGUAGAUACAAUAUCCGGCAUAAAAACCAAACAGGACGUUAGUUAAUUUAGUGAACCACUUUAUAUUUUUGUGUCGUUUUUAUAUUGUUUUUUUUUUUCUGAACAACAAGAUAAUUUAAUUAAAUAAGGGUUUAGGUUACAAUAGAUGGACUGCUGAUUAAGUGGGCCGGUAGACAACUCUUCGCGAGCCCAUCCGCAGGUCCAUUAAGGGAUCGUGGAAUGAAAGUAUAAUGACAAGACAGAAACGAAGAGGAAGAUGAAAAAGCUAGGUCGUCGAUAUCGGCGAGAACCCCGAAGAGUUCCGAUGAUCGUCGGCGAGAAGAGAUCGUAUGAACGAGUACUUGAGAGUCUGAUUUGAUACAGAUAUGACGGUAGUUGAGUGAGGCCGCUUGGAGGAGGGCUUCUCGGAUGGCUAGAGCUUCUGCCAUACAAGGAGAGGAGACAAAGUUCUGUGCCGAGGAGCCUCUAUGAAGCUAUUCCGAGGCGAAAUCAAUGAAGAUCCAGGCCAAUCCCGCCGAUCGGGUUCCUCCCUUCCACGAAGCGUCUGUGUUACAUAUGAUUUCGAAAGGGUAACCGACAGCAUCACGAGUGAUGGGUAAGCUUUUAGGAUUUGGGUUUUGUUUGAUUGGUUGCGCCGAUUCCCAUUCUUUGAGGGCUCCUAGGGCUCUUGUAAAUACUUCUAUUGCUGAUUGGUGCCGGUUUUCAAACAUGAGUUGAUUCCUUAAGGUCCAUAAGGUCCAGCAGAUCCACGGGAGAGCAUUACCUGUAAAUCCAAACGGGGGUAGAGGAGCUUGGGUCAUGGAGUAUUGUAGCUUGUCGAAGAACGAAGUUUGCGGCGAAGUGUCCAACUUGUAUUCCCAUGGUCCGAGAUCCCAGACUUCGGUUGCAAAGGGGCAGUGGAAGAGAAUGUGAGAGAUAUAUUCCAAAUCUCCACAACGAGGGCACAUGGUAUUGGAGAGCAAUAUUAUAUUAUAUAUUAUUGUUUAUUCAUUCUGCAUCUAUUCAUUAUAUGUCAUAACAACUAGUACUGUUCGAAAAUGAGUUUUGGACGUUUCCUUACAAACUCUAAACUCGUUGUUGAGUUAACAACAAUCGUAUGAAUGUGCGAAAUUUGAAUGUCGGUACAUUGUUACGCGACACUUAAUUAAAAGACAUUCCGCUAACUGCUCGAGAUUAACUACUUUUCAGUUUUUUUUAUAAUGUAUGCUUUAUUCAUUAAAUGGAUGAAACAUAGUCAAGAUGAAGGUCUGAUGAGAUUGACCUUGGUACAUAAUUAUAAACCAAUAAGAAUUGUUAAAAGGAAUAUUCAUCUUCGCUAAGGUAUCAGCAGCUCUGUUUGCUUCUCUUCUUAUCCAGACGAACUCAUUUGCUUCAAACUUCUCCUUCCACCAAAAUACUUCACGAAUCCAGUUAUAUCCAGAGAAGUAUAAAGAUUUUCAAUUAAGUAGAUCCAUGUCUUUUUUAUAGUCUCCCUCAAUGAUUACCAUUUUAUAUCCUUUAAACCAGCAUUGUUGCAUCACCAUAAGGAUUCCAUGCAACUCACUCUCCAAAGUAUCAACACAUCUUCCUAUCGCAUGUCCUACUCCUCUGUAUGUAUCCCGAUCAUCUCUUAAAAUCCAACCAGCCUUACUAGGAACUUCUGAAUUCACAAAAGAUGCAUCAACAUUACAUUUAAUCCACCCUGAUGGUGGUCGCUUCCAUUGUCUUAUAUGUGGUAUAGCUCCUCCAUAAUCAUUGAUGCCUCUCCGCUUUGAAUAAGUACUUGUUUAUUGUUUAGCCCACUCCUCUGCAUCUUUACACGCUUGUUGUAAUACUUUUCGUCCAUCCACAUAUUUCUGCUAAAAAAUAAUCAUAUUUCGACUCUUCCAAAUCCUCCAAAGUAACCAGAACGGGAGGUUAACCAUAUGUCUCAAUCGAACUGAUGUACAUCAUUGUAAGCAAGCUUCCAUCAUCUCUUCCAGAGUAGCACUUGUGUCUGUCAAUAUCAUAUUUGAGAUACCAGAGGCCCUCCAUAUCUGUUGAGCAUAUGGACAAUCAAACAAUAUAUGUUUCUCUGUUUCUUCACUACUACAGCAUCUGCAACAUUGAUCUUGGUUUGUUACAUGUCGUCGCUUCAGAUUAGACCCCUUGGGUAGACUUCUCGAACUAGCUUUCCAAAGAAAAUGAUGAAUCUUCGAAGGCAUUUGUGUUUUCCACAGCUUCUUCUUGAUGGUGGUGUUUCCAUAAGUGGGUUGAAUAAUCUCUUGAUUUGGCAAAUGAGUAGCCAACCAGUAUCCUGAUUUCACCGUAUAGAUGCCACUAUCAUUAUAAUGCCAUCCAAGAAGAUCUUGCUUAGCCAUUGCUGAUAGCUUAAUAGCUAAAACCUUUGGAAUAUCUUCAUCUGCUACAGAUUCUCUCACUUUUUGUUCAUCCCAUUCAUUGCCUCUGUGUCCAAAUAGCUGAUGUACUUUACCAACUACUGCUCCUGCAAUCCCUGCCCUUGGAGCUCAUGGUGGGUGAUCCGGUAUCCAGGAAUCUGUCCAGGUAUUAACAUAACUGCCAUCUCCAAUAACAUAUCUCAAUCCUUGUUUAACCAGAUCUCUCCCAUAUAGAAUUGACUUCCAUGCAUAUGAUGCUUUUUUUCUUCUGAACUACUGUUAGAAUAUCACCAUCAUGAAAAUAACGAGCUUUCAAAAUUCGAGCCAUCAGACAUCCUAGGUUUUGCAUUAUCCGCCAGACUUGUUUUCCUAGAAGAGCUUGAUUAAAUUUCUCUAAAUCUCUAAAACCCAGUCCACCUUCUCCCUUCGGUAUACUCACUCUUUUCCAUGCAUACCAAUGCAUACCCUUGUUGUCUUCUUUCCCCCACCAGAACCUUGCAAGCACUCUAUUAAUUUCCUCACAAACCUCUUUUGGUAAUCUAAACACAUUCAUAGAGAAAAUAGGCAUCGCCAACGCCACCACCUUAAGUAGAACCUCUUUUCCUCCAGGUGAUAAGUAUUUUUGACUCCAGCCCUGCAUCACUGCCUUGACCUUAUCUAUGAUAUACGCAAACAUAUCACUUUUUUUAUUGGUGAAUUGUUCUGGCAUACCUAGAUAUUUACCAAUGCCUACUUCAUUGUGAAUUCCCAAAAUAUUUCUCAUACGUGUACGAACUGUAGCAGACACCUUAUGACCAAAUGUAAUAGAAGAUUUGUUCAUAUUAGCUGCCUGUCCCGAAACAGCCUCAUAUAAUUCAAUGAUCUUCUUCAACUUUUGUCUGCUCGUGGAUUAGCCAGUGAGAAAAAUAUGGAGUCAUCAGCAAAUAAAAGAUGAUUGACUGAUGGUGCUUGAUUGGAGAUCUUAAUUCCGAGUAAAGACCGAUCCGCCAUUGCUCUAUUCAUUAAGUGUGAUAGAACUUCUGCACAGAGUAUAAAAAGGUAUGGAUCAAUUGAGCUUGUCCCAUACCAUUCCAGCCUCUAUACACUGUAUUUGAGAAACCAUCUUUGUCUGCCAUUCUAUAAUCAAAACGAAAAUUUCGUCUUGGUUCUUCUUUUUCCGCAGCAAUAUAAGUCACAAGAGGUCGAUGGUCUGAUUCUCCUAUUUCAAGAAACUUUGUUUUAGAAGCAGGGUAAGCUUCUAACCACUCCGUAUUUGCCAUUUUCCUAUCUACACAGCAUUGAAACUUAUGAGUUCCUCUUUGACCAAUCCACAAAAACCUGUCUCCCACUGAAUUGAGGUCCAUCAUAUCAUUAUUUAUCACCAAGGUAUGGAAGUCAUGGAAAGAAGCCUCUGCUCUAACUCGUCCUCCUAUCUUCUCAUUAUUGCCAAGGAUUUCAUUGAAAUCUCCAACUAUAAGCCAUGGUUGAUUCCGUCUAUUUAGUCAUAUUCUUUCAAUUCUCUCCCAAACUUGAUUUCUGAGAGUAAGGUUGGGAUUACCAUACACCAAAGAAAAAUAGAAAUCACCUUCAUUGCAACUGACAGUACAAUCGAUGAUAUUAGGAGAUUAACUUAAAACAGACAACUGUACAUGUGAUUUCCAAAAGAUGGACAAACCACUACUAGAACCUAUGGGAGGAACUGAAACACAAGAAGGGAAAUUCAAUUGAGCACCAACGUCACGAACAUAAUUAUUAGCUUGCUUCAUCUCUGAAAGGCAUAUGAUGUCCAGGAGAUACAACCUGUUGAUCUCCUUAAGGCGUCGAACUGUCAAGUCAAUGCCUAGACCUACAGUUUCAACAGGUUAUCCUCAUGGUGGCUUUGGUGGUUCAGGGCCCACCGCGCCUCUCACUGUGGUGUUAUCCUCUUUCGCUUCAGCUGAUGCUUCAGAGGUAUCCGGAUCACUGCAUUCUUCCUUCUGUCUCUUACUCCUCUUCGGGCCACUAGAUUCACCUCUUUCCAAACGGUUGAACAUGAGCUUGUUGCCCUCAACGGAUUCCAUCCAGCUUUUCCUCUUCAGCAGUUCCUUGCCAUCACGUCGCGUACCAAACGGGUUUAUAGGAUUGUUCAUUUUCUCAUUAUUCAACUCAUCGGAAUACAUCGUUUGCAUAGCUUGAUUACUCCACAACUCAUCAUACUCAUUUGCAUUCUCCUCAUGGAGAUCAUCUUCUUCUUCUUCAACUUUCUCUUGUACAUUCUCUUCUUGGACAACAUUUGCAUCACCAUUAGGCUCCACUUCAUGAAUUUCUUCAAUGAUCACCCCACGGUUUGGUACAUCAUGCUCUCCUCCAUUGUUUCCAUCACUGUCCUCAUCAUCUCCAUCAUGAUUUAAGUUCCCAUUCUGAACCAAGCAGGCGCCCAAAUCAUGUGUAAGUCGUCCACAAACUUCACAGAAGCAACAAAGUCUUUCAAAAGUGAAGCGCAAGAGAUUAUGUCUUUGUCUCUCUCUCAAAUUUCUGGUUUUUUUAUACGACGAACACAUAAAUCUCCAUCACAUAGCUUCAAUCACCUCUACAUGUACAACCAGCACAUCCAUCGGCAUCAUUUGUUUCAUCGUCGCCACCGUAUUCGCUCCGUCAUUGUCUCCGUAAUUUUUACUUUUCUUCUUUCUUGAGAAGUUGAAUCGUUUGAUUCUCAUAUUUGGGAGAGCGCAGUGAGACGGAUACGAUUAUCAAAGUUUAUUUUUGCAGCAGUAUAGCGUCUUCACAUUCUUGGUGGGUGACUGAAGGGAGGGUUUCUCUGAUUGUGAAAUCGAUGGUGUCUUGUCUGACAGAAGAGGAGAGGCGGAAACGUGAAGUAACAUCGGCCAAUUCUUCUUCCUAGAUGCGUCUUGUUGUUUUCUACCUCUUUGUUACUAUACUAUUUUAUCAUGUUCCAUUCCAUUUGACGAUUAAUAAAGAGAGUUCUAUUUUGUUUAGAAAUAUAGUUUGUAAUUUUCUUAAUGUCUAACUAUCGUUACUUGUUUUUGAAUCUGUAAAAUUCGUACUAUGAUCUAUAUUGUAUAGUUUAAUAUUAUAUAAUAUAAUUUAAUAUUACAUAAUAAUGUGUAUAUUUUUAUAUUUUGAUAUUUGGGUUUAGGGUUUAGAAAUUACGGUUUAGGGUUUAGUUUUAGAAGGUGAGGGGUAUGGUUGGAGUCAUCAUUAACUUUUUUCAUACAAUUAUAGACAUUUCAUAAUGUCACCAGUAUGUACUAUGUUAUUUAUUUUGUUCUAUUUAAUUUGGGUUUAGGAUUUAUAUUUGGGUUUAUGGUUUGUAUUUGGGUUUAGGGUUUAGUGAUUAUGUUUUAGGAUUUAGUAUUUAGCGAUUGGAUGAGGUUGGGAUAAAGUUUAAUAUCUAGAUUAUAGGGGUUGAGAUAGAGUUGAUUUCCUAUACUAUUUUAAAAAUAUGAAUAUG